UGAUCCGCAGAUUUCCGAAUGGAGCAAUCCGGCAAGAGGAAAGUCUUGUCAUCAUAUACUGAAUACAUAGGUAUAUGAGGGGAACCGCCUGAACUGAAACAUCUAAGUAGGGCGAGGAAGAGAAAUCAACUGAGAUUCCGUAAGUAGUGGCGAGCGAACGCGGAAGAGGCCAAACCGAGAGUAGUAAUACUUUCGGGGUUCGGACAGAAAACGGUAUUGUAAAGGUUUAGUGGAAUGGAAUGGGAAGUCCAACCGAAGAAGGUGAGAGUCCUGUACACGAAAAGCCUGAACAGCCAUCUGUAUCCAGAGUACCGCCGGACACGUGAAACCCGGUGGGAAUAUGGGGGGACCAUCCUCCAAGCCUAAAUACUACUCGGUGACCGAUAGUGAAGAAGUACUGUGAAGGAAAGGUGAAAAGUACCCCUGACGGGGAGUGAAAAAGAACCUGAAACCUUGUGUUUACAAGCACCGAAAGCUCAUCAAAGAGCGAUCGGGUACCUUUUGUAGAAUGGUCCGGCGAGUGAAUGUAACCGGCGAGGUUAAGCACUUAAGGUGUGAAGCCGCAGCGAGAGCAAGUCUGAAUAGGGCGUAUGAAGUCGGUUGUAUUCGACCCGAAACCGGGUGACCUACCCAUGGUCAGGUUGAAGUAAAGGUAAAACUUUAUGGAGGACCGAACCGACUCCCGUUGAAAUGGUAGCGGAUGAACUGUGGGUAGCGGAGAAAUUCCAAUCGAACCCGGAGAUAGCUGGUUCUCUCCGAAAUAGCUUUAGGGCUAGCCUUGAAAUAGAUUACCGGAGGUAAAGCACUGAAUUGGCUAGGGGCCGAGAGGUUACUGAACCUUAUCAAACUAAGAAUGCCGGAUAAUCGUUUUUCAGGAGUCAGACAGUGGGAGAUAAGUUUCAUUGUCAAAAGGGAAACAGCCCAGACCCACAGCUAAGGUCCCCAAGUAUAGUUAAGUGGAAAAGGAUGUGGAAUUGCACAGACAACCAGGAUGUUGGCUUAGAAGCAGCCACUCAUUAAAAGAGUGCGUAAUAGCUCACUGGUCGAGUGACUCUGCGCCGAAAAUUUAACGGGGCUAAACUAUACACCGAAGCUUGGGAUACAUCUAAUGUAUGGUAGGAGAGCGUUCUGUAUGGGGAGAAGUCGUAGCGAAAGCGGCGGUGGACUAUACAGAAGUGAGAAUGCCGGAAUAAGUAGCGAGAAUUAAGUGAGAAUCUUAAUGGCCGAAAGUCUAAGGUUUUUGGAGGAAGGUUCGUCCGCUCCAAGUAAGUCGGGAGCUAAGGUCAGGCCGAAAGGCGUAGCCGAUGCACAUACGGUUGAUAUUCCGUAACCAUCUGUAAUUUAAGCAAAGGGACACUUCAAAAGGGUGUGACCCGGGCGUUGGUUGACCCGGGCGUAAGGGACCGAAAUUAGAGUAGGGAAGCACACUUAGCUGAAGGCGAGAAAAGCUUUGCGUAUAGAAGCAGAUGCCCGUACCGCAAACCGACACAGGUGGACAGGAAGAGAAUUCUAAGGCCAGCGGGAGAAGGGUAGUUAAGGAACUCGGCAAAUUGACUCCGUAACUUCGGAAUAAGGAGUGCUCGAAAGAGCCGCAGAGAAUAGGCCCAGGCGACUGUUUAGCAAAAACACAGGUCUCUGCCAAAUCGAAAGAUGAAGUAUAGGGGCUGACACCUGCCCGGUGCCGGAAGGUUAAGAGGAGGAGUGAGAGCUCCGAAUUGAAGCCCCGGUAAACGGCGGCCGUAACUAUAACGGUCCUAAGGUAGCGAAAUUCCUUGUCGGGUAAGUUCCGACCCGCACGAAUGGUGUAACGAUCUGGGCACUGUCUCAACUACCC
Molecule: ribosomal RNA, 1834 nt
Filed under: gut metagenome
Description: bacterial LSU rRNA
Rfam family: Bacterial large subunit ribosomal RNA
Source: RNAcentral